This 601-nucleotide ribosomal RNA is filed under the name uncultured archaeon. RNAcentral describes it as "bacterial SSU rRNA". It matches the Rfam family "Archaeal small subunit ribosomal RNA", at positions 319 to 923 of the family's 1478-position model. The record is from RNAcentral.
UCCCUAUGGGGUGCAGCAGUCGCGAAAACUUUGCAAUACACGAAAGUGUGACAAGGCUAUCCCGAGUGCCAUCCGCUGAGGAAGGCUUUUACCCAGUAUAAAUAGCUGGGAGAAUAAGGAGAGGGCAAGUCUGGUGUCAGCCGCCGCGGUAAUACCAGCUCUCCGAGUAGUGUGGAUGUUUAUUGGGCCUAAAGCAUCCGUAGCUUGCUAAGCAAGUCCCCUGUUAAAUCCACCGAUUCAAUCGUUGGAUUGCGGGGGAUACUGUUUGGCUAGGGGACGGGAGAGGCCGACGGUAUUUCCGGGGUAGGGGUGAAAUCCUAUAAUCCCUGGAGGACCACCAGUGGCGAAGGCGGUCAACUAGAACGCGCCUGACGGUGAUGGACGAAAGCUGGGGGAGCGAACCGGAUUAGACACCCGGGUAGUCCCAGCUGUAAACGAUGCGGGCUAGGUGUUGGUGCAGCUACGUGCUGUUCCAGUGCCGCAGAGAAGUCGUUAAGCCCGCCGCUUGGGAAGUACGGCCGCAAGGCUGAAACUUAAAGGAAUUGGCGGGGGAGCACCACAAGGGGUGAAGCUUGCGGUUUAAUUGGAUUCAACGCCGGAA